AUUUAGUGAUUGCUGCGGGAAGGAUCUGUUGUUCCUGCAGUGAAGAAGCACUGCUGAUGUGUGACAUUCACAGAAAUCCCACAGGAAACAGACAGGAAGAAGCAAGUCCCAUCUCCCUCCUCCAGCCUUGCAGCUGCCUGACUGUGCUUAUGAGCAGAGCCUUACCUUGAGGCAACAAGUAAAGCAGAGACGUGGAGUGAAGAACCCCAGCUCUAACCUCAGACAGCAGAGAAUAGAAGGAAUGUAAUUAUUACAUAUGAAAAAGGCCAACAUCUUUUAUAUGAAGGAAAAAUUAGUGGUAAAGAUGAAAGGAACGUUUAUCAUGUCCCCAGCUCUAUCUCCAGUACGUAUAAUAGUGCCACACACAUCAAGUGAUCGACGACACAUUUGUUGAAAAAUGAAUACCUAAUACCUGGAGGAGCUUCUUUGUUUACCAAGAUAUACAGGGGUUAAAUGCAUUGGAUGUUGUAAAAGAUGUUAUUCUUGGUAACAGCUGUAUGAGUUUUCCAAGGAUGUCUGGAAAUAAUGCACAGAAUCAGUGUGCCAUUGUUUACCUGAGACUUCAUUAACGAGCACAGAUGGCACCUCCUCUCAGAAGACUUCCUAUUAAACAGAAUUCCUCAGCUGUGAUCUGAAAGCUUUUUCAUUUGUGUCUCCUUCAAUGGUGAAUGUGCACCCUAAUGGCAUGAUUUAACAGUCUUGGGCAAAGGAAAAAUACAGCUUUCAGAGUCCCAGCCCCAGAAUCACAAAGCAUACAAAAGAUGAAUCAAAAGAGGGUCUAAAGGAGAGUGGUAUCACAAGAAAGAAAAAUAUCCAGGUCCUAGGAUCUCUUAGGGGGAAGCCGUUGGACUAACACCCACCCUGGACUGUGACAUGAGUAAGAAUGAAUACUUACUGUGUAAAGCGGACCUAAACCUAAGUCACAGGAUAGCAAGGAUCCAAGGAGAGAAGACAGUAAUUCCCAAACCUGACUGAUCAUCAAAAUCUGGACAACGUGAAAAUCUGACAUUAGCCCUGAGCUAACAUCUGCUACUAAUCCUCCUCUUUCUGCUGAGGAAGACUGGCCCUGAGCUAACAUCCAUGCCCAUCUUCCUCUACUUUAUACGUGGGAUGCCUGCCACAGUGAGGCUUGACAAGCGGUGCCAUGUCCACACCCAGGAUCCGAACCGGCAAACCCCCGGCCACCGAAGCGGAACGUGCACACUUAACCACUAUGCCACCAGGCUGGCCCCUCUACAUUUUUACAUAAGAUUUCUCUAACGGAAUCAGAUGGGAGUCUGGGGAACUACAAUUUCUCUGCACAUCUGAGGUACAGCAUGAGUGAAUUUUACGACCCUGCAACAUGAACAAAGCAUAUAAAGGGCGAGGAAAACUGUGAACUAAAGCAAGAAAG
This 1393-nucleotide long non-coding RNA is filed under the name Equus caballus (horse). Its description in RNAcentral is "lncRNA (ENSECAG00000052486.1)". The record is from RNAcentral. Lineage: Eukaryota; Metazoa; Chordata; Mammalia; Perissodactyla; Equidae.